CCGUCUACUCCCACUCCACUACGGUUUGCACCCUGACGGCUGACGGCUGACAGCAUGGUUAACUGAGGUUAUCUUUGCAAUUGUCAAGUUUGUUUCAUCAUAACCCGGUUUGAAUAUUGGACAGGAAAUAGAAUAGAAUAGAGUGUGAAUUUUUUCUAAAAAAAAGUAAAAGGAGAAAAUGGUUAAUACGAAGGAGGAUGAAACGACCGUGAUGGCAGAGAAUGGCCCGCAAAAAACAGCCAAACAGUUGCAAAAGGAGGCCAAGAAGCUGGCUAAAUUGGAGAAGUUUAAACAGAAGCAGGAGAAAAAGGGUACUGAGAAAUCAGCGAGUGUGAAAGAGAAACCGGAGAAAAAUGAUAAGAAGGAGACGAUAUCGUAUACCAUCGAUACUCCACUUGGAGAAAAGAAAAAUGUAACGUGCCCAAUGCCGGAUACGUAUAGUCCGCAAUACGUAGAAGCUGCAUGGUACGCUUGGUGGGAAAAGGAAGGCUUUUUUAAACCAGAAUAUGGGAGAAAAGAUGUACUAGAGGAAAAUCCAAACGGAAAAUUUGUAAUGGUAAUACCACCACCUAAUGUAACCGGUUUCUUACAUCUUGGACAUGCUUUGACUAAUGCUAUAGAAGAUGCUAUUACGAGAUGGAAUCGUAUGAAAGGCCGUACGACACUUUGGAAUCCAGGUUGUGAUCAUGCAGGCAUUGCUACUCAAGUGGUAGUAGAAAAAAAGCUAUGGAAGGAAGAAAAGAAAUCUCGUCAUGAUAUUGGCAGGGAAGAAUUUAUUAAGAGAAUAUGGCAGUGGAAACAUGAGAAAGGCGAUCGAAUUUAUUCGCAAUUAAGGAAAAUCGGUGGUUCUUUCGAUUGGAGUCGUGCUUGUUUUACGAUGGAUCCUAAAUUAUGUAAAGCAGUAACAGAGGCAUUUGUACGUUUGCACGAUGAAGGUAUCAUUUAUCGCAGCAAUCGUUUAGUUAAUUGGUCGUGCACUUUAAAAAGUGCAAUAUCAGAUAUUGAAGUCAAUAAAGUGGAAUUGAAUGGGCGCACUCUACUUUCUAUACCCGGUUACGAAAAGAAAGUAGAAUUUGGUGUUUUGGUGUCUUUUGCUUAUCAGCUUCUCGAUUCGGACGACAAAAUAAUCGUGGCAACAACUCGUAUUGAAACUAUGCUGGGAGAUACCGCUGUCGCGGUGCAUCCGAAAGACAGUAGAUACGUGCAGUACAUUGGAAAGUAUGUGCGGCAUCCGUUUUGCGACAGGCAUAUACCCGUCAUAGCGGAUGAGUUUGUCGACAUGGAAUUUGGUACUGGUGCUGUAAAGAUUACACCGGCUCAUGAUCCAAAUGACUAUGAAGUUGGAAAAAGGCAUAAUCUACCAUUCAUCAAUAUUUUUGACGAUGAUGGUAAUGUCGUUGGAGACUACGGAGAAUUUACGGGAAUGAAAAGAUUUGAUGCCAGAGUGGCCAUCAUUAAAGAAAUGACGAAAAGGAAUUUAUUAAUCGAUAUAAAAGACAAUCCAAUGAUAAUACCUAUAUGUAGUCGAUCGAAAGAUGUCGUAGAACCUCUUGUGAAGCCACAAUGGUAUGUUAAGUGUAACGAAAUGGCUGCUCAAGCUAGAGAAGCAGUGAGCACGGGUGCGCUGAAAAUAAUUCCAGAACAAUUUAAGAAAACUUGGUACAUCUGGAUGGACGGUAUCAGAGAUUGGUGCAUUUCGCGUCAGCUCUGGUGGGGUCAUCGCAUUCCUGCCUAUGCAAUCAAGUUUACUAAUUCUAAUGUGAAUACGAAAAAGAUAGACGAAUAUUGGGUGAGUGCGCAUUCCGAAGCUGAGGCUAGAAAGAAAGCGGCUAAGAAAUUGGGCGUUAAUGUAAACAACAUUAUUGCGGAGCAAGAUCCCGAUGUAUUAGACACUUGGUUCUCGUCUGCUCUCUUUCCUUUCUCCGUUUUUGGUUGGCCAGAUGAGGCUCCUGAACUCCGAGCGUUUUAUCCGGGCACGCUAUUAGAAACUGGUCAUGAUAUACUUUUCUUUUGGGUUGCCAGGAUGGUUUUUAUGGGCCAGAAAUUAUUGGGACAAUUACCUUUUAAGGAAGUGUAUUUGCAUGCGAUGGUAAGAGAUGCACAUGGAAGAAAAAUGAGUAAGUCUUUGGGAAAUGUAAUAGAUCCUAUGGACGUAAUUAAAGGAAUCUCUUUAGAAGAUCUUCAAAAACAAUUAUUAGACUCAAAUCUGGAUCCGAAGGAACUGGAACGAGCUCAAGAAGGUCAAAAGCGCGAUUAUCCGCAAGGUAUUCCUGAAUGUGGGACGGAUGCUCUGCGAUUCGCACUCUGCGCUUAUACUACUCAAGGACGAGACAUAAAUCUCGAUAUACUUCGCGUACAAGGAUACAGAUUUUUUUGCAACAAGAUAUGGAACGCUACAAAAUUCGCACUCAUUUAUCUUGGAUCUCAAUUUAUAUACGACACUAAUGAUACGAAACAUAAUAACACUAAUUGUAAGGAUAUGGUUGGAGACGGCAAGUGGUACCAGUGCACUUUGAAUGAAUCGUGUGUGCAGGAAGCUCUAAAUAAUUAUCUGGCGGAUUAUCCAUAUCUUGACGGAUAUACACCUUCACAACUUGACUCAUCAGUUCAUCGAUCGUUAAAGGAGUUAAACAUCGAUUUUGCAAGAUGUUUGCAUAUUAAACGUUGGUACGAUCACAUCGCAACGUUUACAGAUGGAGAAAAAGCUGCGUUUCGUGCGGAACAAAAUAAAAUAAAACCGAAACUUGCAUACAUCAACGAGCAUCAUUGUAAUAACGAUACAUUUGAGCUGACUGGGAAUGAGACAAAUAUAGAUUUGUGGAUGUUGUCGCGAGUUAGUUACGCUGCCGCAACUUGCGAUGAAGCGAUAAAGCAGUAUGACUUUGCAUUAGCUACUUCUACCUGUUACAAUUUAUGGUUGUAUGAUCUGUGUGAUAUUUAUCUAGAAUAUCUUAAGCCAGUAUUCCAAAGUGAAGAUAACAUGGCUAAGUUUACGGCUCAGAAAGUAUUAUUUAUAACGCUGGACGUAGGAUUGCGUUUAUUGAGCCCGUUUAUGCCAUUUAUAACAGAAGAACUUUAUCAACGUUUACCUCGUAAGAAGCUAAUAUAUCCAAGUAUUUGUGUAAGUCCGUAUCCAGACAGUGCCAAGUGUCAUUGGAGGAAUCAAGAGAUUGAAAAAGACGUUGACUUUGCACAAAAAAUAAUUAAGAAUGUUCGAUCUGCCCGCGCGACUUACAAUCUGCCUAAUAAAACAAAAACCGAAGCGUAUGUCGCGUGUACUGAUCCAGCUUUAAAGGAGAAGAUUAUUCAAUAUAAAUUGCUCAUAGAAACUCUUGCAUACUCUACACUUAGCAUGGCGAAACCACCGAUAGGAUGUGCUAUUGUCACUGUAACCGACAAAGUCCAAGUGCAUCUAUUACUGAAGGGUUUGAUCGAUCCAAAAAAAGAGAUGGAAAAGCUGCAAAAGAAAGAGGUCCAAUUGAUCGAGAGUAUACAAAAAUUGAAACAGGAUUUAGCUGUACCAGAUUAUGAUGUAAAGGUGCCUGUUGACGUUCAAAAGAAUAACAAAGAAAAAUUAGCGAAUAAUGAAGGUGAAUUGCAGCGAAUUAUCGAUGCAGUGAUGGUCUUACAAACAAUGUAGAAAGUAAAUUUGUAGAAAAUUUUGUAAACCCCGAUAUUAUUCUCAUAUAAGUUAUUUAACAGAAUUGAAUCUGGGGUCCUUGAGCAUAAGAGUCGACGUCCUAACACUAUGCUACGCCGCUGACUUGACAAUCGUUUUUCUGUAACAGUACUACAGUUGCUGGAAAUAUUUAAUCGUCAUUUUCUCGAGAAUGCCUAAUUUUCGCAAUUAUGGCUUUACUGUAGUAAAUGUGUGAGUGAAUACUACACAUCCAUAAAAUUUUAUAAAAUUGAUAUAUUGGUCAAGAACUCUCUUUGUAAGUAGCUAACAUAUCUCUUUAAUUUUUUAAUAAAAAGAUUACAUUUUAUUAUAGAAACUACAUAUAAAAUAUUAGUACAAAUCCCGAUUUGAUACCUUUAAUACGCUCGGAGAAAAAAUUCAUGAAUAUAGUUUAUUUUAUUCAUUGAUAUAAGCUGUAUGACUGCUUUUGGUACUUCUAGGUGUAACCUCUUAAGUUAAUAUUAAGAUAGAUAUUAGUUUAAUGUAGAGUAUGAUUAUAUAUAAAUGUAACCCCAAAGGGAUCAUUAAAUAUAUAACUACGUCAUAAUAUUAAAAAAUAUAAAAAAUGACGAUGAAAAUAACUGUUAAAUUCGUCACUGUUACUGAAAAAAUGUGGCUAUGUUAUAGUCGUUACCGAUACAAGAAACACAUAACACUGUUACUAGUGUGUUAUAAAAAAAGUAGCUGUAAUGAUAACGACGUAAUAAGUAAUACGUUACUUUCAUAGAUACUGUAGAGACUCGUGAGUCAAGGAUUUUUAUAAAUAAUUAUGAAUUAUUAUUAUAUUAUAGAUAUAUAUUAUUCUGAAA
RNA transcript from Solenopsis invicta (red fire ant), 4488 nucleotides. It is a transcript of the gene named valine--tRNA ligase, with no coding region annotated. The record is from RefSeq and is a predicted model, not a curated record. NCBI's taxonomy places the organism in Eukaryota, Metazoa, Arthropoda, Insecta, Hymenoptera, Formicidae. The transcript is spliced from 19 exons.